RNAcentral lists this non-coding RNA (74 nucleotides) under Streptococcus pyogenes M49 591. Lineage: Bacteria; Bacillati; Bacillota; Bacilli; Lactobacillales; Streptococcaceae. The record is from RNAcentral.
GAAAGCUCGGAAACUAGAUAAACUAACUUUUGUGCUCACACAUGGCGUUAGUUCCCUAAAUUUCAGUCGCUUUC